UUUCCCAGUCUUGACCUCCCCCUUCUUUUAGUGGAAAAUUACUAGAAGUCCAAGGUAGUGUUUAGUACCACCUGACCUUGCAACAUAACCCAAGCAAG
Non-coding RNA from Chelonoidis abingdonii (Abingdon island giant tortoise), 98 nucleotides. NCBI's taxonomy places the organism in Eukaryota, Metazoa, Chordata, Testudines, Testudinidae. The record is from RefSeq and is a predicted model, not a curated record.